RNAcentral lists this ribosomal RNA (253 nucleotides) under uncultured bacterium. Its description in RNAcentral is "partial 16S ribosomal RNA". It matches the Rfam family "Bacterial small subunit ribosomal RNA", at positions 524 to 776 of the family's 1533-position model. The record is from RNAcentral.
UACGGAGGGGGCUAGCGUUGUUCGGAAUUACUGGGCGUAAAGGGCUCGUAGGUGGCCAACUAAGUCAGACGUGAAAUCCCUCAGCUUAACUGGGGAACUGCGUCUGAUACUGGAUGGCUUGAGUUUGGGAGAGGGAUGCGGAAUUCCAGGUGUAGCGGUGAAAUGCGUAGAUAUCAGGAGGAACACCGGUGGCGAAGGCGGUUCUCUGGGCAUUACCUGACGCUGAGGAGCGAAAGUGUGGGGAGCGAACAGG